AAGCAACACUCUGUGGCAGAUAUCCAAUUACCUGUCUCAAUUUAAGCUUGCUAUAAUAAAAAAAAAAAAGUCUAACCUAUUCCAGUGGUCUCUGUUAGGUGAGGUCAUGUGUUAUAUAGACUCUAACAAC
Molecule: small nucleolar RNA, 130 nt
Filed under: Pelusios castaneus (West African mud turtle)
Lineage: Eukaryota; Metazoa; Chordata; Testudines; Pelomedusidae
Description: Small nucleolar RNA SNORA28 (ENSPCEG00000013210.1)
Rfam family: Small nucleolar RNA SNORA28
About the family: ACA28 is a member of the H/ACA class of snoRNA that guide the sites of modification of uridines to pseudouridines.
Source: Rfam by way of RNAcentral